Molecule: non-coding RNA, 30 nt
Filed under: Mus musculus (house mouse)
Lineage: Eukaryota; Metazoa; Chordata; Mammalia; Rodentia; Muridae
Source: RNAcentral
UGUUAUUUUGAGCUUUGAAUCUUUUAGCCU